RNAcentral lists this ribosomal RNA (497 nucleotides) under uncultured bacterium. RNAcentral describes it as "partial 16S ribosomal RNA". It matches the Rfam family "Bacterial small subunit ribosomal RNA", at positions 28 to 507 of the family's 1533-position model. The record is from RNAcentral.
GAUGAACGCUGGCGGCGUGCCUAAUACAUGCAAGUCGAGCGAACGGACGAGAAGCUUGCUUCUCUUAUGUUAGCGGCGGACGGGUGAGUAACACGUGGAUAACCUACCUAUAAGACUGGGAUAACUUCGGGAAACCGGAGCUAAUACCGGAUAAUAUUUUGAACCGCAUGGUUCAAAAGUGAAAGACGGUCUUGCUGUCACUUAUAGAUGGAUCCGCGCUGCAUUAGCUAGUUGGUAAGGUAACGGCUUACCAAGGCAACGAUGCAUAGCCGACCUGAGAGGGUGAUCGGCCACACUGGAACUGAGACACGGUCCAGACUCCUACGGGAGGCAGCAGUAGGGAAUAUUCCGCAAUGGGCGAAAGCCUGACGGAGCAACGCCGCGUGAGUGAUGAAGGUCUUCGGAUCGUAAAACUCUGUUAUUAGGGAAGAACAUAUGUGUAAGUAACUGUGCACAUCUUGACGGUACCUAAUCAGAAAGCCACGGCUAACUACGUG